GACGAACGCUGGCGGCGUGCCUAAUACAUGCAAGUCGAACGCAUUUUCUUUCACCGUAGUUUGCUACACCGACAGAAAAUGAGUGGCGAACGGGUGAGUAACAUGUGGGUAACCUGCCCAUCAGCGGGGGAUAACACUUGGAAACAGGUGCUAAUACCGCAUAAUUCCAUUUACCGCAUGGUAGAUGGAUGAAAGGCGCUUUUGCGUCACUGAUGGAUGGACCCGCGGUGCAUUAGCUAGUUGGUGGGGUAACGGCCUACCAAGGCUGCGAUGCAUAGCCGGCCUGAGAGGGUGAUCGGCCACACUGGGACUGAGACACGGCCCAGACUCCUACGGGAGGCAGCAGUAGGGAAUCUUCGGCAAUGGACGCAAGUCUGACCGAGCAACGCCGCGUGAGUGAAGAAGGUUUUCGGAUCGUAAAACUCUGUUGUUAGAGAAGAACAAGGAUGAGAGUGGAAAGUUCAUCCCUUGACGGUAUCUAACCAGAAAGCCAUGGCUAACUACGUG
Molecule: ribosomal RNA, 507 nt
Filed under: uncultured bacterium
Lineage: Bacteria
Description: partial 16S ribosomal RNA
Rfam family: Bacterial small subunit ribosomal RNA
Source: RNAcentral